Long non-coding RNA from Carcharodon carcharias (great white shark), 241 nucleotides. RefSeq lists it as uncharacterized. The transcript is spliced from 3 exons. The record is from RefSeq and is a predicted model, not a curated record. Lineage: Eukaryota; Metazoa; Chordata; Chondrichthyes; Lamniformes; Lamnidae.
GGGCGGCGUACACCCUGGUCAAGAAGCGGAAGAUCGUCCACCUCGUCGCCCAGUGGGCGGCCAUGCUCGGGCCACAGCUGCAGGAUGACCCGGCCGCUCGGAGACUCCUGGAGGAGCUGGAGGAGCUGGUCUCGAAGGACGUUCAGCUGAGCGAUGCCAUGAGUGAAGACGUUGGGGACAGGAAGAAGCACAGACACACAACAGAAAACGUGACCAACACAACCCCACUAAUGAAAGUGAG